CCAGCAGCCGCGGUAAUACGUAGGGUGCGAGCGUUGUCCGGAAUUAUUGGGCGUAAAGAGCUCGCUCUCUUUGUAUGUCGCGUCGGAAGUGAAAACGCGGGGCUUAACCCGGAGCCUGCUUUCGAUACGGGCAGACUGGAGGGAUGCAGGGGAGAAUGGAAUUCCUGGUGUAGCGGUGAAAUGCGCAGAUAUCAGGAGGAACACCGGUGGCGAAGGCGGGUCUCUGGGCCUGUCCUGACGCUGAGGAGCGAAAGCGUGGGGAGCGAACAGGAUUAGAUACCCUGGUAGUCCACGCCGUAAACUUUUUUUUUCUAGGUGUGGGACUCAUUCCACGAGUUCCGGGCCGCAGCUAACGCAUUAAGCGCCCCGCCUGGGGAGUACGGCCGCAAG
Molecule: ribosomal RNA, 390 nt
Filed under: uncultured bacterium
Lineage: Bacteria
Description: bacterial SSU rRNA
Rfam family: Bacterial small subunit ribosomal RNA
Source: RNAcentral